GACGGAGGAGGCAAGCGUUGUCCGGAAUCAUUGGGCGUAAAGAGCGCGUAGGCUGUUUUUCAAGUCGUAUGUGAAAACCUCAGGCUCAACUUGAGGAUUGCAUAUGAAGCUGGAUAACUUGAGUGCAGUAGGGGAAAGCGGAAUUCCUGGUGUAGCGGUGAAAUGCGCAGAUAUCAGGAAGAACACCAGUAGCGAAGGCGGCUUUCUGGGCUGCUACUGACGCUGAGGCGCGAAAGCUAGGGGAGUAAACAGG
This 253-nucleotide ribosomal RNA is filed under the name uncultured bacterium. RNAcentral's name for it is "partial 16S ribosomal RNA". It matches the Rfam family "Bacterial small subunit ribosomal RNA", at positions 524 to 776 of the family's 1533-position model. The record is from RNAcentral.